AUUGAACGCUGGCGGAAUGCUUUACACAUGCAAGUCGAGCGGCAGCGCGGCCUUCGGGCUGGCGGCGAGCGGCGAACGGGCGAGUAAUUCAUCGGAACAUGCCCAGUCGUGGGGGAUAACACUUCGAAAGAAGUGCUAAUACCGCAUACGUUCUGAGGUGGAAAGCGGGGUAUCGCAAGACCUCGCUCCAUUGGAGUGGCCGAUGUCAGAUUAGCCAGUUGGUGGGGUAAAGGCCUACCAAGGCGACCAUCUGUAGCUGGUCUGAGAGGCUGAUCGGCCACACUGGAACUGAGACACGGCCAAGACUCCUCCGGGAGGCAGCAGUGGGGAAUUUUGGACAAUGGGGGCAACCCUGAUCCAGCCAUUCCGCGUGAGUGAAGAAGGCCUUCGGGUGGUAAAGCUCUUUCGGCAGGAACGAAACGGUGGGGUCUAACAUAGUCCGCUAGUGACGGUACCUGAAGAAGAAGCACCGGCUAACUACGUG
This 484-nucleotide ribosomal RNA is filed under the name uncultured bacterium. RNAcentral describes it as "partial 16S ribosomal RNA". It matches the Rfam family "Bacterial small subunit ribosomal RNA", at positions 30 to 507 of the family's 1533-position model. The record is from RNAcentral.